GCAAGUCGAGCGGAAACGAAGAGGUGCUUGCACCUCUGGCGUCGAGCGGCGGACGGGUGAGUAAUGCUUGGGAAUAAGCCUUAUGGUGGGGGACAACAGUUGGAAACGACUGCUAAUACCGCAUGAUGUCUACGGACCAAAGUGGGGGACCUUCGGGCCUCACGCCAUAAGAUUAGCCCAAGUGGGAUUAGCUAGUUGGUGAGGUAAUGGCUCACCAAGGCGACGAUCCCUAGCUGGUUUGAGAGGAUGAUCAGCCACACUGGGACUGAGACACGGCCCAGACUCCUACGGGAGGCAGCAGUGGGGAAUAUUGCACAAUGGGCGCAAGCCUGAUGCAGCCAUGCCGCGUGUGUGAAGAAGGCCUUCGGGUUGUAAAGCACUUUCAGUAAGGAGGAAAGGUUAAGUGUUAAUAGCAUUUAGCUGUGACGUUACUUACAGAAGAAGCACCGGCUAACUCCGUGCCAGCAGCCGCGGUAAUACGGAGGGUG
Molecule: ribosomal RNA, 488 nt
Filed under: uncultured bacterium
Lineage: Bacteria
Description: bacterial SSU rRNA
Rfam family: Bacterial small subunit ribosomal RNA
Source: RNAcentral